GUAACGAAGUUUGAAAGUACGACGUUCACCAUGUUGUGUCCUCUUACUCCUUCGUCGUCACGUCUUCAGUGAUGCACUACAAUUUGCUAAUAAGUGGUCCCUUAGUUAAGUGAACGGGUUCCCUAGGGGUGAAGAAAGGAGCGAUAUAACUGGCUGAGAGGUGACUCAGACGUCGGCCAAGACAGAGUGCGCUUCGAGAAUAGAAAAGAGGACACUUCAAAUGCGCAGUAUAGGCUCUGAGGACCCCCGAGCGGCCAUCAGCGGAAUGACUAGCAGGCAGACCGGCCUGCGCUUCAUGUGACAUGACGGCAGCUACAUCACCAAAGCCCGUCCGACGUCGCUUGUAAGACCAUUCGCAGCGC
Molecule: long non-coding RNA, 362 nt
Organism: Ornithodoros turicata
Lineage: Eukaryota; Metazoa; Arthropoda; Arachnida; Ixodida; Argasidae
Exons: 3
Source: RefSeq, a predicted model, not a curated record